RNAcentral lists this ribosomal RNA (366 nucleotides) under uncultured eukaryote. RNAcentral's name for it is "partial 18S ribosomal RNA". It matches the Rfam family "Eukaryotic small subunit ribosomal RNA", at positions 592 to 976 of the family's 1831-position model. The record is from RNAcentral.
CAAUAGCGUAUAUUAAAGUUGUUGCGGUUAAAAAGUUCGUAGUUGGAUUUCUGGAGGGAGCGUCGGCCCGUAUUUACGAGUGCGUGACGUCUCUGUCCAUCCUUGCGGGAAGGCACGGCAUUGAUUUGUUGUGUCGGAUCGCAUCAUUUACUGUGAAAAAAUUAGAGUGUUCAAAGCAGGCUUUCGCUUGAAUACAUUAGCAUGGAAUAAUAAGAUAGGACUUUGGUGCUAUUUUGUUGGUUGAGCCUAAAGUAAUGAUUAAUAGGGAUAGUUGGGGGCACCUGUAUUGCGUUGUCAGAGGUGAAAUUCUUGGAUUUACGCAAGACAAACAGCUGCGAAANCGNNNGCCAAGGAUGUUUUCAUNAA